CAGCAGCCGCGGUAAUACGGAGGGUGCAAGCGUUAAUCGGAAUUACUGGGCGUAAAGCGCACGAAGGCGGUUUGUUAAGUCAGAUGUGAAAUCCCCGGGCUCAACCUGGGAACUGCAUCUGAUACUGGCAAGCUUGAGUCUCGUAGAGGGGGGUAGAAUUCCAGGUGUAGCGGUGAAAUGCGUAGAGAUCUGGAGGAAUACCGGUGGCGAAGGCGGCCCCCUGGACGAAGACUGACGCUCAGGUGCGAAAGCGUGGGGAGCAAACAGGAUUAGAUACCCGGGUAGUCCCUGUCUCUUAUAC
Molecule: ribosomal RNA, 301 nt
Filed under: uncultured bacterium
Lineage: Bacteria
Description: partial 16S ribosomal RNA
Rfam family: Bacterial small subunit ribosomal RNA
Source: RNAcentral